This is a non-coding RNA of Glycine max (soybean), 74 nucleotides long. Lineage: Eukaryota; Viridiplantae; Streptophyta; Magnoliopsida; Fabales; Fabaceae. The record is from Rfam.
GGCCUAUUAGCUUAGUUGGUUAGAGCGUCAUGCUAAUAAUGCAAAAGUCACAAGUUUGAUUUUUAUAUGAGCCA